GACGAACGCUGGCGGCGUGCCUAAUACAUGCAAGUUGAGCGAUGAAGAUUGGUGCUUGCACCCAUUUGAAGAGCAGCGAACGGGUGAGUAACGCGUGGGGAAUCUGCCUUUGAGCGGGGGACAACAUUUGGAAACGAAUGCUAAUACCGCAUAACAACUUUAAACAUAAGUUUUAAGUUUGAAAGAUGCAAUUGCAUCACUCAAAGAUGAUCCCGCGUUGUAUUAGCUAGUUGGUGAGGUAAAGGCUCACCAAGGCGAUGAUACAUAGCCGACCUGAGAGGGUGAUCGGCCACAUUGGGACUGAGACACGGCCCAAACUCCUACGGGAGGCAGCAGUAGGGAAUCUUCGGCAAUGGACGAAAGUCUGACCGAGCAACGCCGCGUGAGUGAAGAAGGUUGUCGGAUCGUAAAACUCUGUUGGUAGAGAAGAACGUUGGUGAGAGUGGAAAGCUCAUCAAGUGACGGUAACUACCCAGAAAGGGACGGCUAACUACGUG
Molecule: ribosomal RNA, 497 nt
Filed under: uncultured bacterium
Lineage: Bacteria
Description: partial 16S ribosomal RNA
Rfam family: Bacterial small subunit ribosomal RNA
Source: RNAcentral